Molecule: ribosomal RNA, 492 nt
Filed under: uncultured bacterium
Lineage: Bacteria
Description: partial 16S ribosomal RNA
Rfam family: Bacterial small subunit ribosomal RNA
Source: RNAcentral
AGUGAACGCUGGCGGUAGGCCUAACACAUGCAAGUCGAACGGCAGCACAGUAAGAGCUUGCUCUUACGGGUGGCGAGUGGCGGACGGGUGAGGAAUACAUCGGAAUCUACUUUUUCGUGGGGGAUAACGUAGGGAAACUUACGCUAAUACCGCAUACGACCUACGGGUGAAAGCAGGGGAUCUUCGGACCUUGCGCGAUUGAAUGAGCCGAUGUCGGAUUAGCUAGUUGGCGGGGUAAAGGCCCACCAAGGCGACGAUCCGUAGCUGGUCUGAGAGGAUGAUCAGCCACACUGGAACUGAGACACGGUCCAGACUCCUACGGGAGGCAGCAGUGGGGAAUAUUGGGCAAUGGGCGCAAGCCUGAUCCAGCCAUACUGCGAGGGUGAAGAAGGCCUUCGGGUUGUAAAGCCCUUUUGUUGGGAAAGAAAAGCAGCAGGUUAAUACCCCGCUGUUCUGACGGUACCCAAAGAAUAAGCACCGGCUAACUUCGUG